AAUGCGUUUUGAGAUGGUCCUGCGGCCUAUCAGCUAGAUUGGUGGGGUAACGGCCUACCAAGGCUACGACGGGUAUCCGGUCUGAAAGGGUGAACGGACACACUGGAACUGAGACACGGUCCAGACUCCUACGGGAGGCAGCAGUGGGGAAUUUUGGACAAUGGGGGAAACCCUGAUCCAGCGACGCCGCGUGGAGGAUGAAGGUCUUCGGAUUGUAAACUCCUUUUAGAGGGGAAGAAAAAAAUGACGGUACCCUAAGAAAAAGCCACGGCUAACUACGUGCCAGCAGCCGCGGUAAUACGUAGGUGGCGAGCGUUACUCGGAAUUACUAGGCGUAAAGCGUAUGUAGGCGGUUAGAAUAAGUCUUUAGUGAAAUUUCUCUGCUCAACAGGGAAGGGUCUAAGGAUACUGUUUGACUUGAGUGUUGGAGGGGGAGACGGAAUUCCUGGUGUAGCGGUGAAAUGCGUAGAUAUCAGGAGGAACACCGAUGGCGAAAGCAGUCUCCUGGCCAAAUACUGACGCUAAUGUACGAAAGCUAGGGUAGCAAACAGGAUUAGAUACCCUGGUAGUCCUAGCUGUAAACGAUGUUCACUAGAUGUGGGAGGUAUCGACCCCUUCCGCGUCGACGCUAACGCAUUAAGUGAACCGCCUGGGGAGUACGGCCGCAAGGUUGAAACUCAAAGGAAUUGACGGGGGCCCGCACAAGCGGUGGAGUAUGUGGUUUAAUUCGACGCAACGCGAAAAACCUUACCUGGGCUUGAACUGCUAAUGGUAAAAGCCGGAAACGGUGAUGACCCGCAAGGGAGUUAGUAGAGGUGCUGCAUGGCUGUCGUCAGCUCGUGUCGUGAGAUGUUGGGUUAAGUCCCGCAACGAGCGCAACCCUUAUCCCAUGUUACCUGUAGCAAUACAGGGUCUCUGAGGAAACUGCCAUUGAUAAAAUGGAGGAAGGUGGGGAUGACGUCAAGUCAUCAUGGCCUUUAUGUCCAGGGCUACACACGUACUACAAUGGUCGGUACAGAAGGUAGCGAUAUCGCAAGAUGGAGCAAAUCCUUAAAGCCGGCCUCAGUUCAGAUUGUGGGCUGCAAUUCGCCCACAUGAAGUAGGAAUC
Molecule: ribosomal RNA, 1108 nt
Filed under: uncultured Termite group 1 bacterium
Lineage: Bacteria; Pseudomonadati; Elusimicrobiota
Description: bacterial SSU rRNA
Rfam family: Bacterial small subunit ribosomal RNA
Source: RNAcentral